UUCUACAGAUCAGAAAUAUGCAAAGCCACCAACUUUCCUGGCUUUUACUCAAGACCAGAAGUUGAGUCAUGUUCGUUUGACAGCUUUGCUGUGGGAGCUUGGGUGAGUCACUUAACCUCUGUGUUUCUGCCUUCUGAAGCUUCUUCCUACCAAAACUAGGAUAAUGCCCACUUGACGGAUACAAAGCUUCAGAAUAAAGACCCCCUAAAAAAAUUUUGAAUGGAGCCACGGACCCCUUUGGACAUUUCGAAUAGAGCUGCCAGAACCCUUUGAAUUGUGUGAUAUAUUCACAUACGUUUGAUCAGAGUCAUCUUUCACAGACCCCUAGACAUGACUGACUGCAGGGUGAAAACCAUCGUUUUAUGGUGUCGUCUGUGUCUCAUCCUAAUGCUUUCUGUGAAUUUUAGUCCAUAGCCACCUCCAACUCUCCCAAAACACCAGACUGAUUUGUAUUUGUACUAAUAACUUAAGUGUAAACAUAAACUGUGAAG
Molecule: long non-coding RNA, 491 nt
Organism: Alligator sinensis (Chinese alligator)
Lineage: Eukaryota; Metazoa; Chordata; Crocodylia; Alligatoridae
Exons: 3
Source: RefSeq, a predicted model, not a curated record